RNAcentral lists this ribosomal RNA (465 nucleotides) under Vreelandella stevensii. RNAcentral describes it as "partial 16S ribosomal RNA". It matches the Rfam family "Bacterial small subunit ribosomal RNA", at positions 338 to 795 of the family's 1533-position model. Lineage: Bacteria; Pseudomonadati; Pseudomonadota; Gammaproteobacteria; Oceanospirillales; Halomonadaceae. The record is from RNAcentral.
CCUACGGGUGGCUGCAGUGGGGAAUAUUGGACAAUGGGGGCCACCCUGAUCCAGCCAUGCCGCGUGUGUGAAUAAUGCCCUCGGGUGGUAAAGCACUUUCAGUGAGGAAGAACGCCUGGUGGUUAAUACCCAUCAGGAAAGACAGCACUCACAGAAGAAGCACCGGCUAACUCCGUGCCAGCAGCCGCGGUAAUACGGAGGGUGCGAGCGUUAAUCGGAAUUACUGGGCGUAAAGCGCGCGUAGGUGGCUUGAUAAGCCGGUUGUGAAAGCCCCGGGCUCAACCUGGGAACGGCAUCAGGAACUGUCAAGCUAGAGUGCAGGAGAGGAAGGUAGAAUUCCCGGUGUAGCGGUGAAAUGCGUAGAGAUCGGGAGGAAUACCAGUGGCGAAGGCGGCCUUCUGGACUGACACUGACACUGAGGUGCGAAAGCGUGGGUAGCAAACAGGAUUAGAUACCCCAGUAGUC